This 408-nucleotide ribosomal RNA is filed under the name uncultured Dactylosporangium sp. RNAcentral describes it as "bacterial SSU rRNA". It matches the Rfam family "Bacterial small subunit ribosomal RNA", at positions 355 to 774 of the family's 1533-position model. Lineage: Bacteria; Bacillati; Actinomycetota; Actinomycetes; Micromonosporales; Micromonosporaceae. The record is from RNAcentral.
UGGGGAAUAUUGCACAAUGGGCGGAAGCCUGAUGCAGCGACGCCGCGUGAGGGAUGACGGCCUUCGGGUUGUAAACCUCUUUCGGUAGGGACGAAGCGUUUUGUGACGGUACCUACAGAAGAAGCGCCGGCCAACUACGUGCCAGCAGCCGCGGUAAGACGUAGGGCGCGAGCGUUGUCCGGAUUUAUUGGGCGUAAAGAGCUCGUAGGCGGCUUGUUGCGUCAGCUGUGAAAGCCCAUGGCUUAACUGUGGGUUGGCAGCUGAUACGGGCAGGCUAGAGUUCGGUAGGGGAGACUGGAAUUCCUGGUGUAGCGGUGAAAUGCGCAGAUAUCAGGAGGAACACCGGUGGCGAAGGCGGGUCUCUGGGCCGAUACUGACGCUGAGGAGCGAAAGCGUGGGGAGCGAACA